UGAGGAAUAUUGGUCAAUGGACGCAAGUCUGAACCAGCCAAGUAGCGUGCAGGAUGACGGCCCUAUGGGUUGUAAACUGCUUUUAUCUGGGGAUAAAGUGGGGAACGUGUUCCCUUUUGCAGGUACCAUAUGAAUAAGGACCGGCUAAUUCCGUGCCAGCAGCCGCGGUAAUACGGAAGGUUCGGGCGUUAUCCGGAUUUAUUGGGUUUAAAGGGAGCGUAGGCCGUUUGGUAAGCGUGUUGUGAAAUGUAGGAGCUCAACUUUUAGAUUGCAGCGCGAACUGGCAGACUUGAGUGCGCACAACGUAGGCGGAAUUCAUGGUGUAGCGGUGAAAUGCUUAGAUAUCAUGACGAACUCCGAUUGCGAAGGCAGCUUACGGGAGCACAACUGACGCUAAAGCUCGAAGGUGCGGGUAUCGAACAGG
Molecule: ribosomal RNA, 424 nt
Filed under: Verrucomicrobiota bacterium
Lineage: Bacteria; Pseudomonadati; Verrucomicrobiota
Description: Verrucomicrobia bacterium partial 16S ribosomal RNA
Rfam family: Bacterial small subunit ribosomal RNA
Source: RNAcentral